CUGUUUGGCAGGUUUGUCAUCUGGGAUAAGCAAUAAAAGAAAAUGCCUAGAGUGGCAAAUGGUGACUGGGCGGUGAAUGCACCGAACCAUAGCAGAAAAAUUUAAAAAAGUCUAAUGUUGAAGUUGAAAUCAAGAGAAUAGUGGUACGGCCACACCAGUUACAGAACAACAUGCACCUCAGUGUCAGUCCAAAAUACACACAAUAAGCAGUUUGAACUCACUGAUGUAAUGCCACUUAUUAAGUGUUAAUACGCUCAGUGAAACUGAGUCCAGCGCAAGGGAGAUCCAAUUUAGGAGGAGAGGUUAGAGAGGCCAGCGUCUCCACGGCAGGUGACAGUGCGCACGGAUCCGCUGCGCCACUCAUGGAUGAAAUAAUGAAAUAGUAAAUAGGACUACAGUAACUGAAAUAUGUGCAGAAUCAAGACAGUCAAGACGGCCAAGUGCUUGGUGGAGCAUGUACACCUUGAUCACUUAAUAGCCUACAAAUCAUCCACAGGAUCAAUCAUAGGAUCAUCACACGAGUUUGCCCCCACGACACAGCGUUUGUUCCUGGGAAGAUGGAUCCGUGCGUCCCGCCUCCUGUGCACCAUGGCUGUCUGAGCCUCCUGCACUACAGACUCACAGGCACUA
This is a long non-coding RNA of Etheostoma cragini (Arkansas darter), 630 nucleotides long. RefSeq lists it as uncharacterized. The transcript has 2 exons. Lineage: Eukaryota; Metazoa; Chordata; Actinopteri; Perciformes; Percidae. The record is from RefSeq and is a predicted model, not a curated record.